AGGGCCGGCCGGGCGGUCGCGGGCGCGCGAUGCGCGCCUGAGGAAAGUCCGCGCUCCGGAGGGCAGCGUGCCGGAUAACAUCCGGUUCGGGUGACCGAGGGAAGAGGGCCACAGAGAAGGAGAUUGCCCGCGGUUUGAAUGCCGGCGGGUGAGGGUGAAAAGGUGCGGUAAGAGCGCACCGGCGCGCGCAGCAAUGUGCGCGGCCCGGCAUCCCCCACGUGGAGCAAGGCCAAGCAGGGGCGAUGUGGCGGCCCGCCGCAUUUGAGUUCCGGGUAGGUCG
Molecule: RNase P RNA, 280 nt
Filed under: Anaerolineales bacterium
Lineage: Bacteria; Bacillati; Chloroflexota; Anaerolineae; Anaerolineales
Description: partial RNase P RNA component class A
Rfam family: Bacterial RNase P class A
About the family: Ribonuclease P (RNase P) is a ubiquitous endoribonuclease, found in archaea, bacteria and eukarya as well as chloroplasts and mitochondria. Its best characterised activity is the generation of mature 5'-ends of tRNAs by cleaving the 5'-leader elements of precursor-tRNAs. Cellular RNase Ps are ribonucleoproteins.
Source: RNAcentral